Caenorhabditis elegans is the source of this 1096-nucleotide RNA transcript. It is a transcript of the gene named Non-coding transcript of protein-coding gene ddo-2, with no coding region annotated. NCBI's taxonomy places the organism in Eukaryota, Metazoa, Nematoda, Chromadorea, Rhabditida, Rhabditidae. The record is from RefSeq and is marked reviewed. The transcript has 7 exons.
AAUAAAAUGGCAAACAUAAUUCCGAAGAUUGCAAUUAUCGGCGAAGGAGUCAUUGGAUGUACUUCAGCACUUCAAAUAUCAAAAGCUAUACCAAAUGCGAAAAUAACUGUGCUCCACGAUAAACCAUUUAAAAAAUCGUGCAGUGCAGGACCAGCAGGAUUAUUUAGAAUCGAUUAUGAGGAGAAUACGUGAGUGAAUACGGACGUGCUUCUUUCGCCUGGUUCUCACAUCUCUAUCGCACUACAAAAGGAUCCGAAACCGGCGUGAAAUUAGUUUCUGGACAUAUUCAAUCCGACAACUUGGAGUCAUUGAAGCAACAACAAAGAGCCUAUGGCGAUAUUGUGUACAACUUUAGAUUCUUGGAUGAUAGAGAACGGCUGGACAUUUUUCCCGAACCAUCAAAGCACUGCAUUCACUACACCGCCUACGCAUCAGAAGGUAACAAGUACGUGCCUUAUUUGAAGAAUUUGCUGCUUGAGCAAAAAAUCGAGUUCAAGCAACAAGAAGUGACGAGUUUGGACGCAGUCGCCGACGCUGGUUACGAUGUUAUUGUAAACUGCGCAGGCUUGUACGGUGGAAAGUUGGCUGGUGAUGACGAUACUUGCUACCCCAUUAGAGGAGUCAUUUUGGAAGUUGAUGCACCAUGGCACAAGCACUUCAAUUAUCGAGACUUUACUACUUUCACAAUUCCAAAAGAGCACAGCGUGGUGGUUGGGUCCACCAAGCAGGACAAUCGAUGGGAUUUGGAGAUCACCGACGAGGAUAGAAAUGAUAUUUUGAAACGAUACAUUGCUUUACAUCCUGGAAUGAGAGAGCCAAAGAUUAUCAAAGAAUGGUCAGCACUUCGCCCGGGACGUAAGCAUGUCAGAAUUGAAGCGCAGAAGAGGACAUCUGUUGGAAACUCAAAAGAUUAUAUGGUUGUGCAUCACUAUGGUCACGGGAGCAACGGAUUCACGUUGGGUUGGGGAACAGCAAUUGAAGCAACUAAACUUGUUAAGACUGCACUAGGAUUAUAAAUAUUUGUUCAAGGGUUUCAGUAAAUUAAGGUUAUAUUUCAAUAGACUCGACGGGUCAUAAGAAUAAUUAAAAAAACAAC